UUUGGGUACAGAGGGCCAUAGGUUCGAAUCCUGUCACCUUCAUGUGACGCUGAAGUCAGCAAAUACUCAAAUAUGAACAUCCAUCGACCGUUACCACCUCCUCUGACUCGUUACUUUCUAUAGCAAGCACACGAGACCUAUAGCUAAAGAUCAUAUAGCGCCACAGUAGAUAUACGAACCUAUACGGAACACUUCUCUCUUUCUCAGUGCUUUCUUUAGGCUCCUGGCUGCUCGUUGGUAGAACACAACCAAUAUGAUAUUGAGCUUGAGCAUCCGGGGCUAGUUUCUUUUCUUUUAUUUUAAAUAUGC
Molecule: long non-coding RNA, 309 nt
Filed under: Panax ginseng (ginseng)
Lineage: Eukaryota; Viridiplantae; Streptophyta; Magnoliopsida; Apiales; Araliaceae
Description: long non-coding RNA (PGIN_LNC016890)
Source: RNAcentral